Molecule: long non-coding RNA, 225 nt
Filed under: Elaeis guineensis (African oil palm)
Lineage: Eukaryota; Viridiplantae; Streptophyta; Magnoliopsida; Arecales; Arecaceae
Description: long non-coding RNA (EGUI_LNC010621)
Source: RNAcentral
ACAAGCCGAAGAAGAAGCAAGGUAAUUAUAUGAUAACUCCUUGCAACUUUUUCAUUUGUGAUACUACUGCUUGGGUAUUGGAUACCGGAAGUCCUUAUCAUAUUUGUAAUUCGAUGUAGGGUCUGCAGAUCAGUAGGAGAUUUGAUGAAGGCGAGAGGUUCCUGAACGUUGGAGAUGGAAGCAAAGUUUCAGUUCUAGCUUUAAGAAUCAUGAGUCUUGUAAUCA